UGGGGAAUUUUGGACAAUGGGCGAAAGCCUGAUCCAGCAAUGCCGCGUGUGUGAAGAAGGCCUUCGGGUUGUAAAGCACUUUUGUCCGGAAAGAAAUCCUUGGCUCUAAUACAGUCGGGGGAUGACGGUACCGGAAGAAUAAGCACCGGCUAACUACGUGCCAGCAGCCGCGGUAAUACGUAGGGUGCAAGCGUUAAUCGGAAUUACUGGGCGUAAAGCGUGCGCAGGCGGUUUGCUAAGACCGAUGUGAAAUCCCCGGGCUCAACCUGGGAACUGCAUUGGUGACUGGCAGGCUAGAGUAUGGCAGAGGGGGGUAGAAUUCCACGUGUAGCAGUGAAAUGCGUAGAGAUGUGGAGGAAUACCGAUGGCGAAGGCAGCCCCCUGGGCCAAUACUGACGCUCAUGCACGAAAGCGUGGGGAGCAAACAGGAUUAGAUACCCUGGUAGUCCACGCCCUAAAACGAUGUCAACUAGUUGUUGGGGAUUCAUUUCCUUAGUAACGUAGCUAACGCGUGAAGUUGACCGCCUGGGGAGUACGGUCGCAAGAUUAAAACUCAAGUGAAUUGACGGGGUCAUAGCUGUUUCCU
This 586-nucleotide ribosomal RNA is filed under the name uncultured bacterium. Its description in RNAcentral is "partial 16S ribosomal RNA". It matches the Rfam family "Bacterial small subunit ribosomal RNA", at positions 355 to 1375 of the family's 1533-position model. The record is from RNAcentral.